RNAcentral lists this ribosomal RNA (530 nucleotides) under uncultured bacterium. RNAcentral's name for it is "bacterial SSU rRNA". It matches the Rfam family "Bacterial small subunit ribosomal RNA", at positions 398 to 918 of the family's 1533-position model. The record is from RNAcentral.
CGCGUGUGUGAAGAAGGCCUUAGGGUUGUAAAGCACUUUCAGUGGGGAGAAAGGUUUGUCACCUAAUACGUGAUGAAAUUGAUGUUACCCACAGAAGAAGCACCGGCUAACUCCGUGCCAGCAGCCGCGGUAAUACGGAGGGUGCAAGCGUUAAUCGGAAUUACUGGGCGUAAAGCGCACGUAGGUGGUUCGCUAAGUCAGCUGUGAAAUCCCCGGGCUCAACCUGGGACUUGCAGUUGAAACUGGUGAGCUAGAGUAGGGUAGAGGGGUGUGGAAUUCCAGGUGUAGCGGUGAAAUGCGUAGAUAUCUGGAGGAACAUCAGUGGCGAAGGCGACACCCUGGACUCAUACUGACACUGAGGUGCGAAAGCGUGGGGAGCAAAACAGGAUUAGAUACCCUGGUAGUCCACGUCGUAAACGAUGUCUACUAGCCGUUGGGUUCCUUGAGGACUUAGUGGCGCAGCUAACGCAAUAAGUAGACCGCCUGGGGAGUACGGUCGCAAGAUUAAAAACUCAAAUGAAUUGACGGGG